This 502-nucleotide ribosomal RNA is filed under the name uncultured bacterium. RNAcentral's name for it is "bacterial SSU rRNA". It matches the Rfam family "Bacterial small subunit ribosomal RNA", at positions 78 to 574 of the family's 1533-position model. The record is from RNAcentral.
GUCUUCGGNAGCUGACGAGUGGCGAACGGGUGAGUAAUACAUCGGAACGUGCCCAGUCGUGGGGGAUAACUACUCGAAAGAGUAGCUAAUACCGCAUACGAUCUGAGGAUGAAAGCGGGGGACCUUCGGGCCUCGCGCGAUUGGAGCGGCCGAUGGCAGAUUAGGUAGUUGGUGGGAUAAAAGCUUACCAAGCCGACGAUCUGUAGCUGGUCUGAGAGGACGACCAGCCACACUGGGACUGAGACACGGCCCAGACUCCUACGGGAGGCAGCAGUGGGGAAUUUUGGACAAUGGGCGAAAGCCUGAUCCAGCAAUGCCGCGUGCAGGAUGAAGGCCUUCGGGUUGUAAACUGCUUUUGUACGGAACGAAAAAGCUUCUCCUAAUACGAGAGGCCCAUGACGGUACCGUAAGAAUAAGCACCGGCUAACUACGUGCCAGCAGCCGCGGUAAUACGUAGGGUGCGAGCGUUAAUCGGAAAUUACUGGGCGUAAAGCGUGCGCAG